This 370-nucleotide ribosomal RNA is filed under the name uncultured organism. Its description in RNAcentral is "bacterial SSU rRNA". It matches the Rfam family "Bacterial small subunit ribosomal RNA", at positions 526 to 896 of the family's 1533-position model. The record is from RNAcentral.
CGUAGGGUGCAAGCGUUAAUCGGAAUUACUGGGCGUAAAGCGUGCGCAGGCGGUUUUGUAAGACAGGCGUGAAAUCCCCGGGCUCAACCUGGGAAUGGCGCUUGUGACUGCAAAGCUGGAGUGCGGCAGAGGGGGAUGGAAUUCCGCGUGUAGCAGUGAAAUGCGUAGAUAUGCGGAGGAACACCGAUGGCGAAGGCAAUCCCCUGGGCCUGCACUGACGCUCAUGCACGAAAGCGUGGGGAGCAAACAGGAUUAGAUACCCUGGUAGUCCACGCCCUAAACGAUGUCAACUGGUUGUUGGGUCUCUUCUGACUCAGUAACGAAGCUAACGCGUGAAGUUGACCGCCUGGGGAGUACGGCCGCAAGGUUG